Molecule: long non-coding RNA, 1012 nt
Filed under: Sus scrofa (pig)
Lineage: Eukaryota; Metazoa; Chordata; Mammalia; Artiodactyla; Suidae
Description: lncRNA (ENSSSCG00025063821.1)
Source: RNAcentral
GCCAUAUUCCUUUUCUUCCUUGUCAACAUCAUAUCAUUCAUCUAUUCAACAAAGUUCGAUUGGAUGCCUACUGUGCCAGGCACUGUUCAAAGGGCUUGGGAAACACCAAUGAAAAAACAGAUGAAUAUUGUUGGUAGAGCUUAUAUUUGUAAUUGUUACUUUUUAAAGCUUUUUCCCACUUAACCAUGCAGGCUCAGCUGCAAAGCAUGCUGGAAUUUUGGAACAGCACAGCAGGGUUCAGUGGAGCUUGGCAAAAUAUUCUGAGUGGUCCAUAAAGCCAGUCUCAAGGAACAUGGCCAGCAAUCUAUAUCACAAUGUUCCAGGGCCUGCAGGCUCCAACAGUCAAGUUUAUCUGACAAUCUAGUGGGCAGGAGCCCAGGAUCAAAAGGCUCUGAGCAAUAUUAAUAAGUGUGGCAACACCUUGAUUUCAGUGAGAUCUAGGAGGAACCCAAGCCCAGCCAAUAGCUGGAAGUACAAGGGACAGUGUACAACUCCUUCAAGGAAGGGGAUCUGGUCCCCUUCGUACUGCCUGACUUCCUGAGGAAACUUAGCUGGACACCAUCUGGCUUCCCACUUCCAACUCUAGCCUGGACAUGGAAGAAAGAGGUCAAGCAGGUAAACCUUCCUUAUCCCGCCCUAUCUCUAUCCCCAAGUAAUAGUCAUAAGACUCGAGUGAGGAGUUCCCGUCGUGGCACAGUGGUUAACGAAUCCAACUAGGAACCAUGAGGUUGUGGGUUUGAUCCCUGCCCUUGCUCAGUGGGUUAAGGAUCUGGCGUUGCUGUGAGCUGUGGUGUAGGUUGCAGACGCAGCUCGGAUCCUGCGCUGCUGUGGCUCUGGCGUAGGCNNNNNNNNNNNNNNNNNNNNNNNNNNNNNNNNNNNNNNNNNNNNNNNNNNAAAAAAAAAAAAAAAAAAAAAAAAAAAAAAAGACUCGAGUGAAUUGCAAAGGCUCUAGAAAAUAGUAGAUCAAGAAAAAAGAAUGCUAACAUCCUUGGAUUUAAUUAUCAUAAAAGUC